UACGAAGGGUGCAAACGUUGCUCGGAAUCAUUGGGCGUAAAGCGCACGUAGGCGGCUUCGCAAGUCGGAUGUGAAAUCCCGUGGCUCAACCAUGGACGUGCAUCCGAAACUGCGAGGCUUGAGUAUGGAAGAGGGUCGCGGAAUUCCCGGUGUAGAGGUGAAAUUCGUAGAUAUUCGCAAGAACACCAGUGGCGAAGGCGGCUCACUGGCCCGGUACUGACGCUGAGGUGCGAAAGCGUGGGGAGCAAACAGG
RNAcentral lists this ribosomal RNA (253 nucleotides) under uncultured bacterium. RNAcentral's name for it is "partial 16S ribosomal RNA". It matches the Rfam family "Bacterial small subunit ribosomal RNA", at positions 524 to 776 of the family's 1533-position model. The record is from RNAcentral.